Long non-coding RNA from Equus caballus (horse), 8716 nucleotides. RefSeq lists it as uncharacterized. NCBI's taxonomy places the organism in Eukaryota, Metazoa, Chordata, Mammalia, Perissodactyla, Equidae. The record is from RefSeq and is a predicted model, not a curated record.
UAAAAAUGUUAAAUGUGUUUUUUAAAACCUUUCAAAUACAGGAAGAAUAUGAAGAAAAUAAAAAUUACCCAUAAUCUCGUUACAUCAUUAGAGGUAAUUACUCUUAUUACCAUUCUAAUUUUAUAGUUGAGAAAGCAAAGGAGAGGAAGAAAGGGAAAAAGGAAGGAGUGUGAGCUUUUAGAUUUUCUUCUCAAACAUGUAAAAAAAGAUUCUGUGGAAGUAAUACCCAAAAUUUUUGAAAGAAAUGUCGGAUAUUCUUAUUCCUAAUAGCAUGUAUAUUGCCAGGAGUACCACUGCUGGUUCUGAACAUCAGUGUUUCAAUAAUCAAUAAGCUUUACAAAGCUCUGGUUUCCAUAUCACAGAAAACAAAUAUUUAAAGCAAUACAUAUAUAUAUAUAUAUAUAUAUUUAAAUACGGAAUGCUUUGUGAAUUUGCAUGUCAUCCUUGUGCAGGAGCCAUGUUAAUCUUCUCUGUAUUGUUCCAGUUUUAGUGUAUGUUCUGCCAAAAUGAGCACUUAUAAUAUUUUACAAAAGUAAACUACAUUACAAAAACUCUCGUGAAACAGAAAAGAAGGGGAAGUUACACACAACCCCACAACUUUAACAAAACCCUGUUAAUAUUUUAGUAUAUUUCUUUCCAGACUUUGUCCCACUCUCCCUUUUUUAUUAUUUAUUUAUUUGGACAUAACAUUGUAAUUGAAAGGAAACCAUUAUUAUAAGACCUCUCACAUCAUUGCCCCACUCUGAUUCUCUCUCCGUCUCUAUUUUUCACCUUUGCUUAUUAUCCUCAGGCCUCUAGUGCUUUUAUAACAUGUUGGAUAUGGAGAAAUGGCUUCGGUAUCAGUUAGUUUAGAUUUGAAUCCUGGCCCUACUAACUUGGGAAAAUUACUGAGCAACUUUGUCUCAAUUUUCUCAUCUGACCCUGAGGAUAGCACCCUCUCCACCCAUCUGUGAGCAUGAAGAGAGAUAACAUAUGUAAAUUGAUGACACAGUGAGGAGCUCAGACUAAGUGCUCAAUAUAUACAAACUCUUUUUUUUUUGCUUAAAAUUAUAAUUAUUUUUCUCUAUAAUGCAAACACAAAUCACUAUGACUAACUCACUGUCAUUUUCUUUGACAGGUUAUUUCCAGUUUGGGGUCAUGUAGAUAAUACUGUAAUUAAUGUAUUUUUUUCAUAGAAUAUGAGUUUCACUUCAGUCUAUGGAUUUCCUUUAGAAAAAUCAUUGGAAUGGUAUUUUUGGGUAAAAGUUUGAGCCUUGACAUGGUUCUUGCAACAUAUGCAAGUAUAUUUUUUUGAGUUAAUUUUUUUUUAACUUGAGUAAUUUGAGCAUAGAGUUUUGUACCUUGCUUUUUUCUUUCAAUGUUAUGGCAAAGCUUUUUUUUUUUUAUCAUAUAAUUAUAUUUCCAAUGAAACUCUCCAUGUCUUUAGCUUUUUCUGUAUUUUUGGAUUAUUUCCUUAGAGUAGAUUCCUAGAAGUAGAAUUACUUGAAGAAAUGUAUGACAAAUUGUAUGGCCUCUGAUCUACAAACAAAUCACCUUCCAAAAAAAAUUGUACUGAUUUAUAUGGCCACUAACAGUUUAUGAGUCUACCAAUUUAACAACAUGUUCUGGAGCAUUAAGUGUUAUAAUUUUAAAGCUUUUGCCAAUGUAAUGAUUGAAAAGGCCUACUUAAGGUUUGUUUUGAUUUAAAUUUUAAAUUACCUGUAAGUUGAGCAUUUUAUUUUCUGAAUUUUAAAGCAAGGGGCACUGAGACACUGGGAAGUUGCCUGAUGUGACCAGCGAGCAGCCUCAUUAUAUUCCUCUUUGAUCUGUACAACUCAACAUUCCGGGCAUUAGUUGCUUCCUCCGUAUUUCUUGCAGCUGUUCUGUUUUAAGACGGAAUUCUAUUUUUAUAGAACAAACAGAACUGAGCAGAAAAUGUGCUACUCUCUUUGAGUUUACUUCUCUUAAGAGGAGCCUGCUGUUGAGAAUACACAGUUACAGACAAGAUACAUGAUAGGAGGCAGCUGAUGACAACCAUGAGCCUCCUUAUAGGAAAAGAGUUUCUUGUUGGCAUCAUCAAGGUCUUAUCUUAAAGGUCCAGAAAAUUGAUUCUGUCAGUACAUUCAGAAUUAGACUUAAAAACUGGAUGCUAGCCAAACUCCUAAAAGACUUUUCUAUUACAAGAAAUGCCAUUAACAUGCAGAUCAGAAGUUGCUCCAGAACAUUCUAUUCCUGUAAAAAUGUCUAUAUGAGAAGUCAAAUUAUAAUCAGGUUUCUCAAUAACCACAGAAUCAGGAUGGGGUGGGGAAGGGGGAUGGUGCCUGAAAUGAUUUUUAAUGGCGAAUGUCAUCAAGCUAUGUGAAUCUGAUGCAUUCAUCACCACUGGAGGGACAGACCUGACCAGUGGUAGGAAUGCAUGGGCCGAAGGGACAGGGACCCCUCUCCAUUGGAUAUGCUUGGGAUUCACGAACACAUUUUUCCAUGUUGGCCUCUUUUUCCUAGACUCCAUGCACAUUGCCUUCAAUUCAAUUCCACAGUAUUCAUUAAGCAUCUUCUAUGUGCCAAUCUUUGUAUUGGAUUCUGGGCCUACAUAAAUGAAUAAAAACCUAGUUCCUGCUCCUAGGUACCUCACAGACUUUUGGAGAAAACCAAACACAUACAUAAUUACAACAUACCUUAUGAUGAAAGCUUGACUGUGUUACAGGUCUAGGACCUCUGGGCUCUUGUCACCAUGGCUGGCUUGCAGAAUCUUAUCUAGCUCUGCUGUGUGAUGUGAGCAAUUUAUCUAAUGUCACUGGGAUUUAGUUUGCUGUUUUGUAAAAUGGAGAAAAUAAUAGUCCCUACUUCAUUGAAUUGUGAAGUUUAAAUGAGAUGAUACAUGUAAAGCAAUUAGAACAAUGUCUGGCACAUCGUAUGAAAGUUAGCUAUAAUGAUAAACUUAAUUAACCUCAUGAUGGCUACCAGCAAUAUGACAUGGGCAGUCUAAUUCUUCAAACUCAACACAAGGAGGAACAUAUAUUCCAAACUCUUCUCAGCACUUUGACACAUCUAUAUGCAUGACAGGUAGGAAGUAUAUUAUCAGGAAAGGUGGGACAAUCAACUUCUGAAAAAUGUGACAUUUUUGUUUCAAAUUUGGAAGUAUUUCUCCUCUGGUAUUUCAUACAAUAGUGAUAUUUUUCUUAGAGUAGGCUACUGACAUCUUGUGCUAUACAUUCCAGGAAAAGUCCACAGAUCCAUUUGGGCGCUUCCAACACCUCAGCACAAAGAAUAUCACUUUGACUUUUGUGCAUCUGUCCCACGUCCAGCAGACACCAGGGCUACAUUCAUCUUUGGCUUCCCAGCCUAGUUGUUAACUGCUUGAAGAUAAAGACUGUGACUUAGCCACCUAAAAUUCCCAGCCUCUAACACAGGGACUUGUGGAUAGUAAGAGCUCACCAAUUGUUGCCUGAUCAAAUAAAUGACUUUGACAAUGAAUAUUGGCGUCUGCCUCUCCAGCAUCCAUUCCUAUUUUUGAAACUUUCCAUAAUCCCCACUUUCAGUUCACAUGUUCUGAGUGGAGCACCAAACUUAAGUCAUCAUUCACACGUUCUUCCUUUUUCUUCCAAUAAUCGGCUUAGGAGAGGGUAUAUGACAUAAGCUUGUCCAGAGUUUAACCCCUGGAUUUUGAUGAGAAUGCUAGAAAAAAUACCCUGGCUAUUUUGUCUUGUGGGUUUGAACAUGGAAGGUUUAGUAACUACUGGCAACCAUCUUGUGAUCACGAGGGGAGGCCGUGUUUGAAAAUAGAAUCAACAAAAAGGAAGCAAAGUGAAGAGAUGGUAGAGACGAUCUGGAUCCUGAAGACAUUGUUAGAGGCCUGGACCCAGCUGCACCUUUGGCUGUUAAGUUGCUUAAGCCAAUCCAAGCUGUUUUUUAAAAAAAAUUUAAGCCAGUUUAUAUCAGGUCUUCUCUCACUUGCAACCAAAUGAUAAAACUGAUUCAACUUGUUCUACAAAAGGCAUUUAAAAAUAAACUUAUUUGUCCUAUGCUCAUGACCAAAGCAGUUCCUAACUGCUAUUUUCUUGUUCCAUUAAUCAAUAAACAUAUAUUAGGCCCUUGUUACAUGGUCAGAUGCCACAAAGUUUAAGAAAGUUUCUUGUGCUACAGUCUAAUUGGAAUUCAUAGUCUCUGUAUUUUCCUCUUUUAAGGAAUACAUUUCCAUUUACCUAGAAAAGUUUUGAUUCAGGAAUGAGUUGGUUAUUUACCUCCUGUUCUCAGUUCCAAGACUCCCUUCCUCUGCUCCGCUCUUUCGUGCUGGGGCUGGGAUUCGGCAGAUCUCAUUGACCAUCCUCCCUUGCCAGCUAGCUUUCUGGUAAGUUCAAUAAAUGGGAAACCCUAGGGCACCGGAAUGUGGGAGGAGAAUUCCUUCCUGUUUUCAGUUCCUGAAUGUAGCUGCAGCCCACAGAAAGGUAGCUGCUCUCUGCAGCUCUAAUAUUUAGGUUUCCUUAGUAUCCACUUUUUGCUCUUUCUGCCUUCUAAUAUCUUUAUAACCAAUUCCUGAUAUUAAAUCCACUCUGCUUUCCUGACUGGACCCUGACUGAUAUGGUACUUGAUGCUAGGAGUGGUACUAGGAAGCAGACUCUCAAAUACAGGAUUCUGGAAUUGAUUUGCUUUGAACUCAGAGCUGAACUUUUUGCUAAUGGAAAAUGGGAAUGGUAAUCUAUGGCAUGCAAUGGUAUCACAAUUCAUUAAAUUAUCAUCUAUUCUUGCUAGGUUUGAGUGCCAAUGGGAGGAAAUCUUUUGGACAUCAAUUAACUGCUGCAUUUGAUCAUUAUGGUUGUAGAGAUGAUUACAAGGAAUGUAAGCUGCCAUGUUGGAGAAGCAUGGACUAACCUGCUGGAGGAAACUUGACCCAAGCAACAGCCAGCACUGAUUCCAAGACACAUGAAUGAGGCCAUCAAGGACCAGCAUCCUCUGGCAAUCUGUUGACUGACUGCAAACGCAUGAGUGAGACCAGCUCACCAUGGGAAGCAGAAAUGAAUCGCCCCAGCUGAGCCCAGCCCAAAUUGCUAACUUACAAAAUCAAGAAAACAUAAAUGAUAAACAUAAGCCAUUAAGUUUUGUUAUACAGCAAAAGCUAGCUGAAACAAAUAUAUUAACUUCAAUAGCUGAGAGUUUCUCUAUUUGCUUAGUUGGUUGACUGAAACCUGUGCUCAACAGUAGGCUACAUUCAAUGAUGUUGAGCUGAUAGAAUUUCUCCACAAUAAUGUACAGGAAGGAUUCUAAAGGCUUAGGGAGGUAAGAAUAAUGGAGUAAUUUAUCACAUGUAACCUGUGCAUCUUUCCUCACCUUGAAAGGAUCCAAGAAAUAUUCCCUUCACUAGAGCAUUGAGAAAUGCAUUAGUGAGGGAGCCCCAGCAACCCUGAAUACCCCCAGGUGGCUGUUUUCUGUAGGCCAAGGAUGAGGGUGGGAAAUGCAGCCACUGAGAUGGGCUUCUUGAUUCAAUCAGGAUGAUGAGAUCCCAGAGUGGCAAUAGAAUUUUUUACUCAUAGGAAUCUUUGGUGGUUGGCCCUAAGAAUUAAAUAGAUGGCCAGCCUACUAAAGCAUUGCUUGAUUUAUAUAAUAGAGAUCUGACUUGAGUUCCCACAACUGAGAAUCACAGCUUCUUCCCCGAUUCCUAGACCUUACCAGUUCAUUGAUCUGAAGCUCCUGGUUGAAGAGAAAAACUGGACCCCUUGAGAAAGAACCCUGUAACAAUGCCACAACUACUUUCUGUAGAUCUUCCUCCAUGCUAUCCCAAAAGGGACUUGAAAUCAUUUACUAAGAUGUCUGUGUAUGGAGGAAAUGGAAAUACCCAGAUUUUUCAGGGAUUCCUAAACAUUGCUUUGAAAUGACACUAAUCCUUAGGAACCCCAAAUAGCCCUGUGGUCCACUAGUGAAAAUAGGUGCUUAUAGUGGUCAGGUGAUAAAAAGAAUUUGGGCCAAUUCCAUCUCAUCAUGGAUCUGUGACCCACGCAGCCAUUAAAAAUUAUACUUAGGAAGAUUAGUCAACAACAUGGGUGUAAGCUUAUAAUCCUAUGACAAAUUUGAAAAAAGGAUAGAAAAUUACAUGUUAUAACUCUAGCUGAAGUUAUAGAUGUGUCUAGACAAAGAACAAAUGCUAACAGCAAAAAUGAAAAUACUUGUGUUGGACGAUGAGGUCAUAGGUGAUUUUUGUUUCAUCUUUCUCAAUUCCUCAAACUCUCCCAAAUGCUAUUUUUUGCUUCCUUUGUAAAAGGUACUUUUUUUUUUAAAGACUUAGAACUUAUCCAACUCUUUUGUUUUAAGGAUUGCAAUUAUAUACUUUUUAUUCAAUCAUGUUAAGGUCAUAAAAAGUAAGAAUGUUAAGUGUAGCCUUCUCUUCAGUAUUACAGUGAGUCUCAGAGACAAUCACGCACGGGGCACCUAUCACAUAAAGAGGCUGCAGGACUGACAAAAUCCUACUCUCUCCCUGCCCUCCACAAGUUUACAGUCUAAGGGGCAUGUGCUCAAAUCCUCAUGAUUCAAAACUGAGAAAGAUAACUGCUUCAGAGAGGGACAAAGAAAGCAUUGCUCUGCCCAAAGUAAAGAGAGCUCAUAUUUAAUUGGAGAAAAUCAGAGAAUAUUCAUGAGCAGAGCUGGCAUCUGAGGAUGAAUAGGAUUUUCCGGGGAGAAUUGAGGUCCCAGAAAGGACGUGUCCCAGAAAGGAGGUGUUCUGGGUGGAGGCGACAGUAUAAACCAUACUUGAGGACUGGUGAGCCCUUUGACUUUGCUGAAGAAUGUACGGGAGAGUCUAGGGGACACGAAACCCAUGCUGAUAGACCUCAGCUGGGAAUUCCUUGGAGCAUAGCUCACUGCUCCUUUAGCAGUAGGAUUUAGGAGAAAUAUCCUGCAGACAGAUUAGCUUGAUAGUGUCUGGGCACUGACUAUUUGGCAAGGGCUAGUGGCUAGUACAUAGGGGGAUUACCGAUGAUACUUGAUAUUUAUCAGGUAUUUACCAUGUGCCUGAUGCACUAAGUGCCUGAUAAAGGAAGGUACUAAAUACCUUUCUUACAUUAUUCAUUUUUUAGAUAAGGAAACUGAUGCUUAGAGAGAUCAACUAACAUAUCCAAAGUUGUGUAACUCAUAUAUAAUUGAGUUGGGGUUGGAAUCUCCGACAUCAGAGCCUGCACUCCCCCACCCUCCCACAGUGCCUCUUUGGAAAGAGUAAAAGUGAAAUUAAUCCUCGAGCAGCAAAAGAGACCACAAGGCACAUGUAACUGGUAAAGUCCCCACUUAAAGUCGCAUCCCGUGGGAAAUCAGGGCACGUUACAGGGUAGAAUGAAUAUGGUUUCAUCACCCUAACUUCAUCCCUUCCAAGCUAAAGAGGCAGUGUUAACCAAAUUUCUUAACUUCUAUUCUUCAGUUUCCUUAUCUUUAAAAUGGAGACAUAAAUAGUGCCUUUUUUCAGAGGGUUUUGAGAGAAUUCAUUCCAACAAUAUGUAUAAAAUGCUAAACAAUAUGGGGCAUAUAGUGAGUACUUGAUAAAUGUUAGAUGUUAGGAUGGUAUGCUGUAGUAUAGAACAUUUCUUACGUUAGGACACACUGCUUUAGGGUCUUCUUCCCUGAAGAAGCCUAAAUCUCAGGAUACUGGGGCUUGGGAGCCCUGUCCCUAUUUGGUUUUCUAGAAAAUAGCCCAAAUCUAGGACCAAAGGUGGUAUUUUGACAGAAGCCAUUAUGCCACCAGGUUCCUAAUAGAGUCAAACACCACCACCCAGUAUGCCAAUCACACAUCUUGGGGGAGGUGGGGCCCCACAUAGGUGGGCUUGCUUCUUUGGGGAGGAGGCCUUGUCUGCCUGCCCUGAUCUCCACAGCAUUCGAAGGUGCUAUUCCUCCAGCAGGGACCCCAGACCAACACAUGGGACCUGGGAAACCGCCCUGGGACCCCACUCUUCUGAAGAGGGCAUCAAAUUGUGCCUCAAAGUCUUUCAAACUUGUGGGAGUCAACUGGCUUGAUGGCAUAUUAAACUUACUGACCUGGAUGGGCCUUGAGGAAACCACUUAGCCAAAAGUAGAACAUCUGGAAGACUUUGAAGAAUAAACUAUUAAGUUUUAUUCUUCAGAGGCAUUCUUUGAUUUGUAUAGACCGAGAAUUGAGAAACUGGGAUGUCGUAUAAUUUGUCUGUUACUCAUUUUCACACCCCUUCAUUCCCAACCCCAAAUUCUUUUUAGUUUGAGCACCAGUUAAAGAGUUUGCUUUAGGCCCACUAAGCUAAGACUCUGUUGUACUUGGUAAUGUACACAUUUGGAUAGUUUAUGGGUCAACUCAUGUCCUGAGAUUCGUGGCCCCAGCACAAAGACCAAAUUUAACGUGAUUAACCUGUUGUUGCUGAGUCCAGUUACCCUCCACUUUGACGCACAUGUAAUGGGAUCCCACAGGAUUUCUGUAAUACCAACCAUCAAAGACCUUGACUAGAGAGUAUCACUGUAUCACAGACGUGGAAACUGAGUCACUGAAAAGUUAAGUUUAAAGUCAUAUAGAGAACCAGGAAAGGAGCCCUAGUUUGGGACUUUGACCAUUAUGACUACUUAUCUGAAAUCUUUGCAGGCACAGCAUUAAGAAUGCCAAAAUUUUUUAAUGUAUAUCAUUGAUUUCUGAAAUUAAAAAAACAGAAUUUUUUGAAGGAAAGAUGUAGUUUAAAAAAACACCAUUCAACACAGUGCUAUUACAGUUUACAAUAAAUGCUUCGUGAUUUGGACCUCA